Molecule: ribosomal RNA, 497 nt
Filed under: uncultured bacterium
Lineage: Bacteria
Description: partial 16S ribosomal RNA
Rfam family: Bacterial small subunit ribosomal RNA
Source: RNAcentral
GAUGAACGCUGGCGGCGUGCCUAAUACAUGCAAGUCGAGCGAACAGACGAGGAGCUUGCUCCUCUGACGUUAUCGGCGGACGGGUGAGUAACACGUGGAUAACCUACCUAUAAGACUGGGAUAACUUCGGGAAACCGGAGCUAAUACCGGAUAAUAUAUUGAACCGCAUGGUUCAAUAGUGAAAGACGGUUUUGCUGUCACUUAUAGAUGGAUCCGCGCCGCAUUAGCUAGUUGGUAAGGUAACGGCUUACCAAGGCAACGAUGCGUAGCCGACCUGAGAGGGUGAUCGGUCACACUGGAACUGAGACACGGUCCAGACUCCUAGGGGAGGCAGCAGUAGGGAAUCUUCCGCAAUGGGCGAAAGCCUGACGGAGCAACGCCGCGUGAGUGAUGAAGGUCUUCGGAUCGUAAAACUCUGUUAUUAGGGAAGAACAAAUGUGUAAGUAACUAUGCACGUCUUGACGGUACCUAAUCAGAAAGCCACGGCUAACUACGUG